Molecule: ribosomal RNA, 253 nt
Filed under: uncultured bacterium
Lineage: Bacteria
Description: partial 16S ribosomal RNA
Rfam family: Bacterial small subunit ribosomal RNA
Source: RNAcentral
UACAGAGGGGGCAAGCGUUAUUCGGAAUUAUUGGGCGUAAAGGGCGCGUAGGCGGCCUGGCAAGUGGAAGGUGAAAUCCCUCGGCUUAACCGAGGAACUGCCCUCCAAACUGCUUGGCUUGAGACCGGGAGAGGUGAGUGGAAUUCCCAGUGUAGCGGUGAAAUGCGUAGAUAUUGGGAGGAACACCAGUGGCGAAGGCGGCUCACUGGACCGGUACUGACGCUGAGGCGCGAAAGCGUGGGGAGCAAACAGG